Molecule: transfer-messenger RNA, 350 nt
Filed under: Bacilli
Lineage: Bacteria; Bacillati; Bacillota
Also listed under: 2 other names
Description: DTU067 sp012841865 Standard tmRNA
Rfam family: transfer-messenger RNA
About the family: Bacterial tmRNA, also known as 10Sa RNA or SsrA, is named for its dual tRNA and mRNA-like properties. Its role is to liberate the mRNA from a stalled ribosome.
Source: RNAcentral
GGGAUAGACAUGGUUUCGACAGGCUUUAUGAAGUUAUAAUAGCAUGCCAUGGUAACGCAUGUAAAAACGUAGAGGUUAUAAUUAACCGCAGAACAAAAUUACGCUUUUGCAGCUUAAUUAAUAAACAGCUGCGCUUGUGAUAAAGUCCCCCUUAAGCUUUAUCAACAGGCUCAUGUAUUAAGGGUUGAAUCAAAAAAGGACCUCGGUUUUUGCUUCGAGAUCAAGAGGUUAGUUUAUCGGUGUUUUGUUCUUUGUACAUCGGUAAAUGAAACUAGAACAAAGGAAUAAGCAUGUAGAAGUUAUAAUGAAUUAGGGUUUGGACAGGGGUUCGACUCCCCUCUAUUCCACCA